UACGAAGGGGGCUAGCGUUGUUCGGAAUUACUGGGCGUAAAGCGCACGUAGGCGGAUUUGUUAGUCAGGGGUGAAAUCCCGGGGCUCAACCUCGGAACUGCCUUUGAUACUGCAAGUCUCGAGUCCGAUAGAGGUGAGUGGAAUUCCUAGUGUAGAGGUGAAAUUCGUAGAUAUUAGGAAGAACACCAGUGGCGAAGGCGGCUCACUGGAUCGGUACUGACGCUGAGGUGCGAAAGCGUGGGGAGCAAACAGG
Molecule: ribosomal RNA, 253 nt
Filed under: uncultured bacterium
Lineage: Bacteria
Description: partial 16S ribosomal RNA
Rfam family: Bacterial small subunit ribosomal RNA
Source: RNAcentral